AGAUACAUACUACGUGGUCAUGGUACUUCUUUUUUGCAGCAACAUUGCGGUCUUUCCCAUGMUGACACUCCAUCAGUUUCUCGCCCAGUAUUAUGUAAGGCCAUAAAUCUCAAAUGAGCUGAAUGCAAUUCAAAAGUAGAGAUCAAAUUAUAGACUGUAAUUAUGGAUUUGACACAUGUAUUAUAUUCAAAGCCUUAGAAUCUUAAAAUAAUAUUGAAAUAUUUAAUAUUUAAGCUUAAUUACGCUUUUAACUUAUAUGUCAGCAUCGAAAAUAAUAUAAAGUCAGGGUAGCUGUAUUUUCGCUCAUAUAAUAAAUAUUGAUUUAACCUUUCAUUMAUGAGUAAAUGAAUGAAUGAGUGAAGGGAUAAAUGAAUUUCUAAUUGGAUUCAAUGGGCAUGAAUUAGGCUUUGCUGACAUACAAGUUAAGUUUUGCCAAUGAGCAGAAAGCUGAUUUUAAAAGGACAAUCGAACGAAAGUGACAUAUCAAAAAGAUAAUGUACUUCUCAAAUAGAGAAAUAAAAGAAAAAUGCUAACGAUCGUCCCUUA
This is a long non-coding RNA of Exaiptasia diaphana, 546 nucleotides long. RefSeq lists it as uncharacterized. The record is from RefSeq and is a predicted model, not a curated record. NCBI's taxonomy places the organism in Eukaryota, Metazoa, Cnidaria, Anthozoa, Actiniaria, Aiptasiidae. The transcript is spliced from 2 exons.